RNAcentral lists this ribosomal RNA (2904 nucleotides) under Enterobacter hormaechei. Its description in RNAcentral is "bacterial LSU rRNA". It matches the Rfam family "Bacterial large subunit ribosomal RNA". Lineage: Bacteria; Pseudomonadati; Pseudomonadota; Gammaproteobacteria; Enterobacterales; Enterobacteriaceae. The record is from RNAcentral.
UUAAGCGACUAAGCGUACACGGUGGAUGCCCUGGCAGUCAGAGGCGAUGAAGGACGUGCUAAUCUGCGAAAAGCGCCGGCGAGGUGAUAUGAACCUUUGACCCGGCGAUGUCCGAAUGGGGAAACCCAGUGCAAUUCGUUGCACUAUCGUUAACUGAAUACAUAGGUUAACGAGGCGAACCGGGGGAACUGAAACAUCUAAGUACCCCGAGGAAAAGAAAUCAACCGAGAUUCCCCCAGUAGCGGCGAGCGAACGGGGAGCAGCCCGGAGUCUGAAUCAGCUUGUGUGUUAGUGGAACGGUCUGGAAAGUCCGACGGUACAGGGUGAUAGUCCCGUACACGAAAGCACACAUGCUGUGAACUCGAAGAGUAGGGCGGGACACGUGGUAUCCUGUCUGAAUAUGGGGGGACCAUCCUCCAAGGCUAAAUACUCCUGACUGACCGAUAGUGAACCAGUACCGUGAGGGAAAGGCGAAAAGAACCCCGGCGAGGGGAGUGAAAAAGAACCUGAAACCGUGUACGUACAAGCAGUGGGAGCACCUUCGUGGUGUGACUGCGUACCUUUUGUAUAAUGGGUCAGCGACUUAUAUUCUGUAGCAAGGUUAACCGUAUAGGGGAGCCGAAGGGAAACCGAGUCUUAACUGGGCGUUAAGUUGCAGGGUAUAGACCCGAAACCCGGUGAUCUAGCCAUGGGCAGGUUGAAGGUUGGGUAACACUAACUGGAGGACCGAACCGACUAAUGUUGAAAAAUUAGCGGAUGACCUGUGGCUGGGGGUGAAAGGCCAAUCAAACCGGGAGAUAGCUGGUUCUCCCCGAAAGCUAUUUAGGUAGCGCCUCGUGAACUCAUCUUCGGGGGUAGAGCACUGUUUCGGCUAGGGGGCCAUCCCGGCUUACCAACCCGAUGCAAACUACGAAUACCGAAGAAUGUUAUCACGGGAGACACACGGCGGGUGCUAACGUCCGUCGUGAAGAGGGAAACAACCCAGACCGCCAGCUAAGGUCCCAAAGUCAUGGUUAAGUGGGAAACGAUGUGGGAAGGCACAGACAGCCAGGAUGUUGGCUUAGAAGCAGCCAUCAUUUAAAGAAAGCGUAAUAGCUCACUGGUCGAGUCGGCCUGCGCGGAAGAUGUAACGGGGCUAAACCAUGCACCGAAGCUGCGGCAGCGACACUUAUGUGUUGUUGGGUAGGGGAGCGUUCUGUAAGCCGUCGAAGGUGUGCUGUGAGGCAUGCUGGAGGUAUCAGAAGUGCGAAUGCUGACAUAAGUAACGAUAAAGCGGGUGAAAAGCCCGCUCGCCGGAAGACCAAGGGUUCCUGUCCAACGUUAAUCGGGGCAGGGUGAGUCGACCCCUAAGGCGAGGCCGAAAGGCGUAGUCGAUGGGAAACAGGUUAAUAUUCCUGUACUUGGUGUUACUGCGAAGGGGGGACGGAGAAGGCUAUGUCAGCCGGGCGACGGUUGUCCCGGUUUAAGCAUGUAGGCGGAGGUUCCAGGUAAAUCCGGUACCUUAUUAACGCUGAGGUGUGAUGACGAGGCACUACGGUGCUGAAGUGAUAAAUGCCCUGCUUCCAGGAAAAGCCUCUAAGCAUCAGGUAACACGAAAUCGUACCCCAAACCGACACAGGUGGUCAGGUAGAGAAUACCAAGGCGCUUGAGAGAACUCGGGUGAAGGAACUAGGCAAAAUGGUGCCGUAACUUCGGGAGAAGGCACGCUGAUAUGUAGGUGAAGCCCCUGCGGGUGGAGCUGAAAUCAGUCGAAGAUACCAGCUGGCUGCAACUGUUUAUUAAAAACACAGCACUGUGCAAACACGAAAGUGGACGUAUACGGUGUGACGCCUGCCCGGUGCCGGAAGGUUAAUUGAUGGGGUUAGCGGCAACGCGAAGCUCUUGAUCGAAGCCCCGGUAAACGGCGGCCGUAACUAUAACGGUCCUAAGGUAGCGAAAUUCCUUGUCGGGUAAGUUCCGACCUGCACGAAUGGCGUAAUGAUGGCCAGGCUGUCUCCACCCGAGACUCAGUGAAAUUGAACUCGCUGUGAAGAUGCAGUGUACCCGCGGCAAGACGGAAAGACCCCGUGAACCUUUACUAUAGCUUGACACUGAACACUGGUCCUUGAUGUGUAGGAUAGGUGGGAGGCUUUGAAGCGUGGACGCCAGUCUGCGUGGAGCCAACCUUGAAAUACCACCCUUUAAUGGCUGGUGUUCUAACGUAGACCCGUAAUCCGGGUUGCGGACAGUGUCUGGUGGGUAGUUUGACUGGGGCGGUCUCCUCCCAAAGAGUAACGGAGGAGCACGAAGGUUGGCUAAUCCUGGUCGGACAUCAGGAGGUUAGUGCAAUGGCAUAAGCCAGCUUGACUGCGAGCGUGACGGCGCGAGCAGGUGCGAAAGCAGGUCAUAGUGAUCCGGUGGUUCUGAAUGGAAGGGCCAUCGCUCAACGGAUAAAAGGUACUCCGGGGAUAACAGGCUGAUACCGCCCAAGAGUUCAUAUCGACGGCGGUGUUUGGCACCUCGAUGUCGGCUCAUCACAUCCUGGGGCUGAAGUAGGUCCCAAGGGUAUGGCUGUUCGCCAUUUAAAGUGGUACGCGAGCUGGGUUUAGAACGUCGUGAGACAGUUCGGUCCCUAUCUGCCGUGGGCGCUGGAGAAUUGAGGGGGGCUGCUCCUAGUACGAGAGGACCGGAGUGGACGCAUCACUGGUGUUCGGGUUGUCAUGCCAAUGGCACUGCCCGGUAGCUAAAUGCGGAAGAGAUAAGUGCUGAAAGCAUCUAAGCACGAAACUUGCCCCGAGAUGAGUUCUCCCUGAGACUUUAAGUCUCCUGAAGGAACGUUGAAGACGACGACGUUGAUAGGUCGGGUGUGUAAGCGCAGCGAUGCGUUGAGCUAACCGAUACUAAUGAACCGUGAGGCUUAACCUU